AGUGAACGCUGGCGGUAGGCCUAACACAUGCAAGUCGAACGGCAGCACAGUAAGAGCUUGCUCUUACGGGUGGCGAGUGGCGGACGGGUGAGGAAUACAUCGGAAUCUACUUUUUCGUGGGGGAUAACGUAGGGAAACUUACGCUAAUACCGCAUACGACCUACGGGUGAAAGCAGGGGAUCUUCGGACCUUGCGCGAUUGAAUGAGCCGAUGUCGGAUUAGCUAGUUGGCGGGGUAAAGGCCCACCAAGGCGACGAUCCGUAGCUGGUCUGAGAGGAUGAUCAGCCACACUGGAACUGAGUCUCGGUCCAGACUCCUACGGGAGGCAGCAGUGGGGAAUAUUGGACAAUGGGCGCAAGCCUGAUCCAGCCAUACCGCGUGGGUGAAGAAGGCCUUCGGGUUGUAAAGCCCUUUUGUUGGGAAAGAAAAGCAGCAGGUUAAUACCCCGCUGUUCUGACGGUACCCAAAGAAUAAGCACCGGCUAACUUCGUG
This 492-nucleotide ribosomal RNA is filed under the name uncultured bacterium. Its description in RNAcentral is "partial 16S ribosomal RNA". It matches the Rfam family "Bacterial small subunit ribosomal RNA", at positions 29 to 507 of the family's 1533-position model. The record is from RNAcentral.